RNAcentral lists this long non-coding RNA (935 nucleotides) under Linum usitatissimum (flax). RNAcentral's name for it is "long non-coding RNA (LUSI_LNC007973)". The record is from RNAcentral. Lineage: Eukaryota; Viridiplantae; Streptophyta; Magnoliopsida; Malpighiales; Linaceae.
AUUUCUUCAGAAGCGGGUGUGCCAAUUGGCAGAGAUGGUACGCCGAUUCCAAAUUAACCGACAUCAGCCUCAGGUAUUCCUCCGUUGUAUACUCCGUAGUCGGCUUCCUUGCAUUCGUCCCGACGUUAUUCACCUGAAAAAUCAACAACAAAAGAAACAGAUUAAACUCCAUUCAUCGCCAAUUCGCCAUUGAAAUAAGUCGCUUAUUUGCAGAGAAUUGGGGUUUUGACUAACGAGAAUGUUGAGAGUGCCGUUGUAAAGCGCGGAAACAUCGCGGACGAGCUUCUGCCUUUCGGAAGGAGACGACACGUCGCAGACUGAACCGGAGACGGAGAACCCUUUCUCCUUGCAUUGCUGCAAGAACUUGUUGAGCUCAGCUUCGUUUCUAGAACACGUAUGUACCUUAGCUCCCAGUCCAGCAAGUUCCUCUACUGUUGCAUAUCUGUCCAAACAAGGAAAGCAAAACCCCAGUUAAGAAUAGCCCAAGCCCGUUUUAAAACCAAAGAAGCCCAAUCUAAAUUAGGGAGCCGUUACAAGCCCGCUGAGGGACGGAAUAAACAAGAAAGUUCGUUUUCGCCUUUUCGGUCCUCUAAUAAUCCCCUUUGGCUGCUCUGUAGUUUUCAAUCGGCGUCAAACAAAAUCCCCUCCGCCGUCACUUUGCAUGGAUCACGAAUCGCGAUCAGCUCCGAAUCCGAUGAACAAUCUUUUAAUUAAACCGAUAUACUAACUAAUAUGGUUAUACGGGCGAGCUAUUCCAUAAUCAAGAAAAGUUAGUAAUGCGAGAGAAGAGGGGAGAAAAUCAAGAACGAACCCGAUGCCACGGGUGCCGCCGGUGACGAGAGCCGUGAAGCCGUGAAGGGACCAUCUCGCAGACGGGGAAUGGUGGUGGCCGUUUGUCGCUGCCAUGGGAUGAAGACGCUAGCUAGAUAUUGAAA